RNAcentral lists this ribosomal RNA (1469 nucleotides) under uncultured Bordetella sp. RNAcentral's name for it is "partial 16S-23S ribosomal RNA intergenic spacer". It matches the Rfam family "Bacterial small subunit ribosomal RNA". Lineage: Bacteria; Pseudomonadati; Pseudomonadota; Betaproteobacteria; Burkholderiales; Alcaligenaceae. The record is from RNAcentral.
GUUCGAUUCUGGCUCAGAUUGAACGCUGGCGGGAUGCUUUACACAUGCAAGUCGAACGGCAGCACGGACUUCGGUCUGGUGGCGAGUGGCGAACGGGUGAGUAAUGUAUCGGAACGUGCCUAGUAGCGGGGGAUAACUGCGCGAAAGCGUAGCUAAUGCCGCAUACGCCCUUCGGGAAAGCAGGGGACCUUCGGGCCUCGCACUAUUAGAGCGGCCGAUAUCGGAUUAGCUAGUUAGUGGGGUAACGGCUCACCAAGGCGACGAUCCGUAGCUGGUUUGAGAGGACGACCAGCCACACUGGGACUGAGACACGGCCCAGACUCCUACGGAGGCAGCAGUGGGAAUUUUGGACAAUGGGGAAACCCUGAUCCAGCCAUCCCGCCCGUGUGCGAUGAAGGCCUUCGGGUUGUAAAGCACUUUUGGCAGGAAAGAAACGGCACGGGAUAAUACCCCGUGCAGCUUGAGCGUCUUGCAGACUAAGCCUUCCUGACAACUGCGGUAUGGCCACGGUAAUACGUCAGGCUAUGACGUUAAUCCGAAUUAUGAAGCGCUAAGCAGCUGCAGUGGACAGAAGAAAGAUGGCGAUCCCAGACUUAACUUUGGAACUGCUGUUUUGUUCUUGAGCAUAAGUGUAAUCAGAGGAGGCGGAAUUCGCGUUCGUUAACUGAGUGAAAUGCAGUAGAUGUCGAAGGAACUUUCGUUGGAAGGCACAGUAUCGAUAUUUUGUGCUUUGAAAACGGAGCAAAACAGGAUUAGAUACCCUGGUAGUCCACGCCCUAAACGAUGUCAACUAGCUGUUGGGGCCUUCGGGCCUUGGUAGCGCAGCUAACGCGUGAAGUUGACCGCCUGGGAAAUACGGUCGCAAGAUUAAAACUCAAAGGAAUUGACGGGGACCCGCACAAGCGGUGGAUGAUGUGGAUUAAUUCGAUGCAACGCGAAAACCUUACCUACCCUUGACAUGUCUGGAAUCCCGAAGAGAUUUGGGAGUGCUCGCAAGAGAACCGGAACACAGGUGCUGCAUGGCUGUCGUCAGCUCGUGUCGUGAGAUGUUGGGUUAAGUCCCGCAACGAGCGCAACCCUUGUCAUUAGUUACUACGAAAGGGCACUCUAAUGAGACUGCCGGUGACAAACCGGAGGAAGGUGGGGAUGACGUCAAGUCCUCAUAGCUUUGGCCCUUAUGGGUAGGGCUUCACACGUCAUACAAUGGUCGGGACAGAGGGUCGCCAACCCGCGAGGGCCAAUCCCAGAAACCCGAUCGUAGUCCGGAUCGCAGUCUGCAACUCGACUGCGUGAAGUCGGAAUCGCUAGUAAUCGCGGAUCAGCAUGUCGCGGUGAAUACGUUCCCGGGUCUUGUACACACCGCCCGUCACACCAUGGGAGUGGGUUUUACCAGAAGUAGUUAGCCUAACCGUAAGGAGGGCGAUUACCACGGUGAUUCAUGACUGGGAAUUGAAGUCGUAACAAGGUAA